CAUUUCUGUCCCCUAAAAUAUGUUAUCACUAUCCGACCAAAUAAAACCGUCCAAAUGAUACUGGUAAAUAUUAUUGAACAGUCGCACAAGAGUUUGUAUAAUGUCACUAUACAAAUCCUUGAGUCGCAGUACUGAAAAAAAAUUUCAACACAUCGGGGUUCAGCUGAACAUUUGUAUAUACCAACAAAUGAUCUUACCCUGGAUUUAGAGCGAAAC
Molecule: long non-coding RNA, 216 nt
Filed under: Mytilus galloprovincialis (Mediterranean mussel)
Lineage: Eukaryota; Metazoa; Mollusca; Bivalvia; Mytilida; Mytilidae
Source: RNAcentral